This 817-nucleotide ribosomal RNA is filed under the name uncultured bacterium. Its description in RNAcentral is "bacterial SSU rRNA". It matches the Rfam family "Bacterial small subunit ribosomal RNA", at positions 60 to 864 of the family's 1533-position model. The record is from RNAcentral.
AGUCGAGCGGAUUCAUUCCUUCGGGGAUGGGUUAGCGGCGGACGGGUGAGUAACACGUAGGCAACCUGCCUAUAAGCCUGGGAUAACUUCCGGAAACGGAUGCUAAUACCGGAUACGUUGAUUCUUCGCAUGAAGAGUCAUGGAAAGACGGCGCAAGCUGUCACUUAUGGAUGGGCCUGCGGCGCAUUAGCUAGUUGGUGGGGUAACGGCUCACCAAGGCGACGAUGCGUAGCCGACCUGAGAGGGUGAUCGGCCACACUGGGACUGAGACACGGCCCAGACUCCUACGGGAGGCAGCAGUAGGGAAUCUUCGGCAAUGGACGCAAGUCUGACCGAGCAACGCCGCGUGAGUGAUGAAGGGUUUCGGCUCGUAAAACUCUGUUGCCAGAGAAGAACGUCCAGGAGAGUAACUGCUCUUGGAGUGACGGUAUCUGAGAAGAAAGCCCCGGCUAACUACGUGCCAGCAGCCGCGGUAAUACGUAGGGGGCAAGCGUUGUCCGGAAUUAUUGGGCGUAAAGCGCGCGCAGGCGGUUGUUUAAGUCUGGGGUUUAAGUUCGGGGCUCAACCCCGUAUCGCCCUGGAAACUGGGGAACUGGAGUGUAGGAGAGGAAAGUGGAAUUCCACGUGUAGCGGUGAAAUGCGUAGAGAUGUGGAGGAACACCAAUGGCGAAGGCAGCCCCCUGGGUCGAUACUGACGCUCAUGCACGAAAGCGUGGGUAGCAAACAGGAUUAGAUACCCUGGUAGUCCACGCCCUAAACGAUGUCAACUAGGUGUUGGGAGGGUAAAACCUUUUAGUACCGGAGCUAACGCGUGAAG